Monodelphis domestica (gray short-tailed opossum) is the source of this 799-nucleotide long non-coding RNA. RefSeq lists it as uncharacterized. The record is from RefSeq and is a predicted model, not a curated record. NCBI's taxonomy places the organism in Eukaryota, Metazoa, Chordata, Mammalia, Didelphimorphia, Didelphidae.
CAGAGCCUGGGUGGGUAGGGUUGUCAGUUGCUGGCAGUUGUGGGAAAUUGGCUGCUGGGUUCUCCCUGGGCAUGACUGGAAUGGAGAAAGGGCUGAGUUAUAAUGAAUCCAGGAAGAAUCUAAAAGAGGCCAUUACUUUGCUUAACCUCUGUCAAAAUAAAUGCUGUUACCAGUAUAGUCUAAGAUUAACGGGAGCAUUGAUUUUGGCAGCUUUCUUCUAAUAUAGUCCUUCUCCUUAAGUUAUGUGUAUAUGGAUGCCACAGCCAUAAACAGUUAAAGUCAAUGAAACUCAAAAAAUAGAAAUGAUCUUUGAAUGGAGGGACAAGAAUGUAUCUGUUGCAGCUGGGGACAAAUCGAAAAGGAAAUCAAAACUGUCUAUUGUCAACUGAAUUCCUGUGUUUAAUUAGAAACUGAAACCCUCUUUCUGUCCCUUUUUUUCUUUGGCAUUGCUUAACCUGGGGUCAAAAGCAGGGAAAAAAUGUCUUCCAGGAAAUGGGAAGAAUGACAAGAAACACUCAGGUAUCCUACCUCCAUAAUUUUCAUGGUAAAUCUGUUCAUUUGCCUAUUAAAAAAGAGGAAGAAGAAAAAGAUAUUUUAGCUCUUCAGUUAAAUCCAGCAAAGGCAAUAAAAGCAGAAUUUGUAACCCAUGACAAAAUCCCCCAGAUCCAGCAGUCUCUACCCUUUCAAAUCCUUUAUGCAUGAAUGUGUCUCCUCCAGGCACUUCAUACCGAAGGACCUCAAGACCCUGGCGUAUUGCUUCUCUGAAAUAAAGAAACAAAGUUUAAGUUUUCUUUAAAAA